CAGCUAAGUGUGAACGUGAUAAAGAGGAGAUGGCAUAAAGCACAUAUGAGUGGUAGGGGAGCUUAGUAUACGGGUAGAAGCAUGACCGUAAGGACAUGUGGACUGUAUAGUAGUGAGAAUGCCGGAAUGAGUAGCGAAAGUGAAGUGAGAAUCUUAACCGCCGAAUAUCUAAGGUUUCCUGGGGAAGGCUCGUCCGCCCAGGGUAAGUCGGGACCUAAGCUCAGGCCGAAAGGCGUAGGCGAUGGACAACAGGUUGAUAUUCCUGUACCACCGUUAUUCGUAUGAGAGAAGAGGGGACGCAGGGAGAUAGAGUGAUCGAGCGACAGGAAGAGCUCGACUAAGAGGAAUAGAAAGUCUGGUAGGCAAAUCCGCCGGAUGAUUCGAAGCCUUGAUGGGUAGGGAAAAUAUAGUACCGAAGCACUCGAUUCUGCACUGACAAGAAAAGCCUCUAUCGAGAAUAAAGGUGCCCGUACCGCAAACCGACACAGGUAGAUGAGGAGAGAAUCCUAAGGCGAGCGGGAGAAGCGUUGUUAAGGAACUAGGCAAAUUGACCCCGUAAGUUCGCGAGAAGGGGUGCUUGAAGCGGAGCAAUCCGUGGAGAGCCGCAGAGAAAUGGCCCAAACAACUGUUUAUCAAAAACACAGGUCUCUGCUAAAUCGAAAGAUGAAGUAUAGGGGCUGACGCCUGCCCGGUGCUGGAAGGUUACGGGAAUCUGUUAGCGCAAGCGAAGCAGUGAACUUAAGCCCCAGUAAACGGCGGCCGUAACUAUAACGGUCCUAAGGUAGCGAAAUUCCUUGUCAGGUAAGUUCUGACCCGCACGAAUGGCGUAAUGAUUUGGGCACUGUCUCGACAACGCACCCGGUGAAAUUGUAGUACUCGUGAAGAUGCGAGUUACCCGCGACAAGACGGAAAGACCCCAUGGAGCUUUACUGUAGCCUGAUACUGGGUUUCGGUAUUUUUUGUACAGGAUAGGUGGGAGGCAUAGAAGCUAGCACGCUAGUGUUAGUGGAGCCGCUGUUGGGAUACCACUCUAAGAAUGCUGGAACUCUAACCAGAGGCCGUGAACCGGUCUUGGGACAAUGUCAGGUGGGCAGUUUGACUGGGGCGGUCGCCUCCCAAAAGGUAACGGAGGCGCCCAAAGGUUACCUCAGCACGGUUGGAAAUCGUGCAUUGAGUGCAAAGGCAUAAGGUAGCCUGACUGCGAGACAGACAAGUCGAGCAGAUACGAAAGUAGGGCUUAGUGAUCCGGCGGUAUGAGAGUGGAAUUGCCGUCGCUCAACGGAUAAAAGCUACCCUGGGGAUAACAGGCUUAUCUCCCCCAAGAGUCCACAUCGACGGGGAGGUUUGGCACCUCGAUGUCGGCUCAUCGCAUCCUGGAGCUGUAGCAGGUUCCAAGGGUUGGGCUGUUCGCCCAUUAAAGCGGUACGCGAGCUGGGUUCAGAACGUCGUGAGACAGUUCGGUCCCUAUCUGUCGUGGGCGUAGGAUAUUUGAAGGGAGCUGUCCUUAGUACGAGAGGACCGGGAUGGACAAACCUC
This 1536-nucleotide ribosomal RNA is filed under the name biogas fermenter metagenome. RNAcentral describes it as "bacterial LSU rRNA". It matches the Rfam family "Bacterial large subunit ribosomal RNA", at positions 1173 to 2709 of the family's 2925-position model. The record is from RNAcentral.